Molecule: ribosomal RNA, 252 nt
Filed under: uncultured bacterium
Lineage: Bacteria
Description: partial 16S ribosomal RNA
Rfam family: Bacterial small subunit ribosomal RNA
Source: RNAcentral
UACGUAGGGGGCAAGCGUUGUCCGGAAUUAUUGGGCGUAAAGCGCGCGCAGGCGGUUAAUUAAGUUGGGUGUUUAAGCCCGGGGCUCAACCCCGGUUCGCAUCCAAAACUGGUUGACUUGAGUGUAGGAGAGGAAAGUGGAAUUCCAGGUGUAGCGGUGAAAUGCGUAGAUAUCUGGAGGAACACCGGUGGCGAAGGCGGCAUCCUGGACCAACAUUGACGCUGAGGAGCGAAAGCGUGGGGAGCAAACAGG